Molecule: unclassified non-coding RNA, 334 nt
Filed under: soil metagenome
Description: partial contains 5.8S ribosomal RNA, internal transcribed spacer 2, and large subunit ribosomal RNA
Rfam family: 5.8S ribosomal RNA (bases 1-120)
Source: RNAcentral
GAUGAAGAACGUAGUGAAAUGCGAUAAGUAAUGUCAAUUGCAGAAUUCAGUGAAUCAUCGAAUCUUUGAACGCACAUUGCGCCCGCCAGUAUUCUGGCGGGCAUGCCUGUUCGAGCGUCAUUUCAACCAUCAAGCCCCAGGCUUGUGUUGGAGCCCUGCGGCUGCCGCAGCCUCCCAAAACCAGUGGCGGGCUCGCUAUCACACCGAGUGCAGUAGUUUACUCUUCGCUCAGGGCGUGUGGCGGGUGCUAGCCGUAAAACCCCCAACUUCUCAAGGUUGACCUCGGAUCAGGUAGGAAUACCCGCUGAACUUAAGCAUAUCAAUAAGCGGAGGA